RNAcentral lists this ribosomal RNA (624 nucleotides) under uncultured bacterium. RNAcentral describes it as "bacterial SSU rRNA". It matches the Rfam family "Bacterial small subunit ribosomal RNA", at positions 338 to 959 of the family's 1533-position model. The record is from RNAcentral.
CCUACGGGAGGCAGCAGUGGGGAAUUUUGGACAAUGGGCGCAAGCCUGAUCCAGCAAUGCCGCGUGAGUGAAGAAGGCCUUCGGGUUGUAAAGCUCUUUUGUCAGGGAAGAAACGGUGGUUCCUAAUACGGACUACUAAUGACGGUACCUGAAGAAUAAGCGCCGGCUAACUACGUGCCAGCAGCCGCGGUAAUACGUAGGGUGCAAGCGUUAAUCGGAAUUACUGGGCGUAAAGCGUGCGCAGGCGGUUAUAUAAGUCAGAUGUGAAAUCCCCGGGCUCAACCUGGGAACUGCAUUUGAGACUGUAUGGCUAGAGUGUGUCAGAGGGGGGUAGAAUUCCACGUGUAGCAGUGAAAUGCGUAGAUAUGUGGAGGAAUACCGAUGGCGAAGGCAGCCCCCUGGGAUAACACUGACGCUCAUGCACGAAAGCGUGGGGAGCAAACAGGAUUAGAUACCCUGGUAGUCCACGCCCUAAACGAUGUCUACUAGUUGUCGGGACUUAAUUGUCUUGGUAACGCAGCUACGCGUGAGUAGACCGCCGUGGGAGGUACGGUCGCGAGAGUAAACCCGAAACGUAGAGUAGACGCGUGAGACGUAGCGACGGACGACGACGAGGGGAGGAGG